AGGAGACAGCCAUUGUCCUUCAGACCCCAGAAUGGUAGAUCCACCGACAGUUUGCACCAUGCACCUGAAAAAGCUACAGAAACUCAAUGCCAGCCCAUGAUAGCAGCUGGGAAGGAGGCUGUACCAUGCAAAAUCACAGGGGUAGAGCUGCCUGAAACCAUGGGAGCCCACCCCUUGCAUCAUUGUGAUCCGAAUGUGAGAUGCGAAAUAAAAGGAGAUGAUUUUGGAGCCAUUUGGGACACUGGGACCAACUGGUCAGGUCCCAGACCAGCUUUCUCACACAGCCAAGGUACUGUCCUUAGGUCUUUCUCAGGUCUAUAUGAGCU
This 326-nucleotide long non-coding RNA is filed under the name Pan troglodytes (chimpanzee). RNAcentral describes it as "long non-coding RNA NONPTRT012146". The record is from RNAcentral. Lineage: Eukaryota; Metazoa; Chordata; Mammalia; Primates; Hominidae.